RNAcentral lists this ribosomal RNA (424 nucleotides) under uncultured bacterium. Its description in RNAcentral is "bacterial SSU rRNA". It matches the Rfam family "Bacterial small subunit ribosomal RNA", at positions 355 to 796 of the family's 1533-position model. The record is from RNAcentral.
UAACGAAUAUUCCGCAAUGGGCGCAAGCCUGACGGAGCAAUGCCGCGUGCGGGAUGAAGCGGCUUCGCCGUGUAAACCGCUGUCAGGGAGCAGAAACACUGAUCGCUCCCAAAGGAAGAGACGGCUAACCCUGUGCCAGCAGCCGCGGUAAGACAGGGGUCUCGAGCGUUAAUCGGAAUCACUGGGCUUAAAGGGUGCGUAGGUGGUCCUGCAAGUGUCCUGUGAAAGCCCCCGGCUCAACCGGGGAAUCGCGGGGCAAACUGCGGGACUCGAGGAAGGUAGAGGCCGGUAGAACGAUAGGUGGAGCGGUGGAAUGCGUAGAGAUCUAUCGGAAUGCCGAAGGUGAAGACAGCCGGCUGGGCCUUUCCUGACACUGAGGCACGAAAGCGUGGGGAGCAAACCGGAUUAGAUACCCGUGUAGUCC